Molecule: ribosomal RNA, 292 nt
Filed under: Andinobates claudiae
Lineage: Eukaryota; Metazoa; Chordata; Amphibia; Anura; Dendrobatidae
Description: partial 12S ribosomal RNA
Rfam family: Bacterial small subunit ribosomal RNA
Source: RNAcentral
GGGAACUACGAGCCAAGCUUAAAACCCAAAGGACUUGACGGUACCCCAUAUCCCCCUAGAGGAGCCUGUCCUAUAAUCGAUAACCCCCGUUCAACCUCACCACUCCUAGCAACUCAGCCUGUAUACCUCCGUCGUCAGCUUACCACGUGAGCGUUAGUGAGCUCAAUGUUUUUCCAACUAAACGUCAGGUCAAGGUGCAACAUAUGAAGUGGGAAGAGAUGGGCUACACUUUCUAUCUUAGAUCACACGGAAGACUACCUAUGAAACCUAGUCAAAAGGCGGAUUUAGAAGU